This is a long non-coding RNA of Apis mellifera (honey bee), 1200 nucleotides long. RefSeq lists it as uncharacterized. Lineage: Eukaryota; Metazoa; Arthropoda; Insecta; Hymenoptera; Apidae. The transcript is spliced from 3 exons. The record is from RefSeq and is a predicted model, not a curated record.
GUAAAAACAAGUUUAUUCAAGUGUUUCAAAUCUCAUCCAAAGAGGUGGUGUACUAAAUCCGAACGAAACGGGAAUUCGGUAUUUUCUCUACCGGUUCGUCGUGGAUCGCGAAUAUACUUGAAUACACUCGAGUAUACAUGGCCGUGCUUUAGAGGACCAACAAAACAAACGGCAUUUCUCGUCGAGCUACGAAAAUAGCUUCUCGAUGAUUCCUCGAAAACAACGCCGUCACGAGACAUGGUGAUGUACCUAACCUGGCCUACCGGUGUACAUACCUUGGACGCUUUUGAUGCGCGUGUCUCCAGGAAGGGUGAGAAGAAAAAAGUGUCGACGGUGUGGGGUCGCCGUCCCCGUGUCGACAAAGCUUCCUUUCGUAUCGUUAUAUCACAUACGCGAUGUCAUCAGGACAACUGCUGUUCUAAGAAAGUCGCCUGAGUGACGAUGCAACGACACUUCUCGUGGCACUCGAGUGGCUAUUGCUACUCUGAACACGGGAUAAAACUGUCAAGAAAACUAAAGGCGUCGAUUCUAUGAACUGUUACAACAAAUACAAUUUAUCCGAAUGUAAUUUUCACACGAAUAUAUAAUAAUAUUGAGCCUGCUUCGAAUGAAAGUUACUAAAUUUUAUCCAACACGAGAAUCUUGCAGUAAACAAACUCAAUGCAAUCUCGACGUAUUAUGCAUCACGAGCCUCGCGGCCAUCACUAAUUUCAACUGGCACUGUUAGUGGCGCCAUCGCCUCUUUAGACGGAAGAACAAGGAACUGGACCAUUACGCGCGCGAUAGUCGUGAAUAAUGGCGAAAUACGUAAUCCAACGCCAUCAUUGCCAGGUGGUCCUAUUAACAUAAAAUGCAUAAAAAAAAAGAAUGCUAAAUUUAUCAAGAUAAUGAAAGAAAAGAGUUCAUGUAUUACCAGACGGUCCUCUUGGACCCAUAGGACCUUCUACACCGACACCUUCCGGACCUCUAUCACCUUUUUCUCCCCGUUCACCAGGUGGACCUUGAGGUCCUAUAUGACCUUGUGGUCCUGGUAAACCAUUAAAACCACGUUCCCCAGGUAAACCUGGAAGACCUGGAUCACCUAAAAGAUAAUUUUCCAUUAUAAAUUAAUUCUAAUUUUAAGGUAAAAAAAUGUAUUAUUAAUAUUAUAAGCAUGCAUUGUUAACUAUUUCUAACUACAUAUAAAUUAAAUAUAUUAUU